UAGCUCGUUGACCCAUUUAACGAAAGCGUCGCGUCAUCCCGGCUCGUGAGGGCAAGAACAAAGUUUUGCUGAACAAGGUUUCUGUUCAAACAAAAUGGUUUCAGUUGAAAUUUCGCCAGAGUAUGGCUACGUUAUUUUAGUAUUUGUUGCAACAAUUUUCCUGAACUUUUGGCUUGGAAUUAACGUUGGCAAAGCGAGGAAAAAACACGAAGUACCUCUUCCACAGAUGUACAGUGACAGAGACCAGAAGUUUAACUGCAUUCAAAGGGCACACCAGAACAUGUUAGAGAGUUAUCCCUAUGUACUGGUGUUACUGCUCCUGGGAGGCAUUAAACAGCCAGUUAUUGCUGCAGCUGCAGGGUCCAUCUGGAUUGUUGGCAGAGUGUUGUAUGCCUUGGGAUACUAUACUGGGGAUCCAGCAAAGAGAAGCCGUGGAGCAAUUGGUUACAUUGGAUUGUUGGCACUUCUGGGUUGUACUGUUCAUCUUGCCUUAUCACUGCUUGGUAUUGCAUAAAUUAUGGGUCAGCUGUCCAGGUGUACUUGAGUAUGAACUACAUACAACUGUAGUUAUUAGAUAAUGGAAAACAUAAUGAAGUACUAUCCAAGAUUGUUUUUUAUAUUUUAGACAGAAUAUAACACAAUGUUAUUCUUUUUUAAUUUUGAAAGUGGUGUUAUGUAGCAUUUUGAUGCAGAAUAAUACAAUUAAGGGUUUUUAUAGCUUCCUUUUUUCUUUAUUCUUCUAAGCCAUCAGCUUACCAAUUUCCAAUUUUAAAUACUUACAAAUGUGUGUACCAUAAUUUUCUUUACUCUGUUAAAAGAUUUGUGCAUUCCUUAAAUUUUCCUUUUGUGUAAAAUGCAUUUUUAAACUAUGAACAAUAAUUAAAAAGGAUGGAACAUGUCUUUGACCACACUGGGAGCUACAAAAAAAAAAAAAGAAAUUAUGACAGUAGCCAUCUUUUAUUAUAGCCUUUGAAGUAAUUGUUUCAUUUUCUUUUAUACUUACAUUUUAUAUAAUUUGUGUAGAAAAUGAAAAUAAAAAUUUCUCCUGAUAUGCACGGUUAGUAUUCUGAACUUCAGAUCAGAUGCAUGCCAUUUCUUCAUUUUUGGAUCUCCAUAUGUGCACUCCAAUCAUUCCAGUAGCAGGCAUAUUGUGGGAAUUUGAAAUUGAAAAAGCAGGCCUGCACUAAGUCUGAGACUCAGACCAAGAGCUAGAUACCUGGUUGUAAAUUCUUCAGAUAUGUAUGAACUUGGCUGAAAGCAGAUAUUUUGUGUUAUUACCCAACUUGUGCAUUUGAAGCUGUUUUAACAAUCAUUAAAAAUUAUAAAAGCAUGCUCUUUAGCUUCAGUAUUAGUAUGUCUACCUCACAGUGUUAGGCUCCUCACAGGGUAGUACUAAUCAAGUGUGUUUUAAGGACGUAUUGAUAGAAGCACAAAUUAAUUGAAAAUUUUUAGAAAACAUAACUUGUAAACAUUAUCUAGAUGCAUUUUGUAUACUUGUUAUCAUUCUAUAUUGAUUAGGCUACCUUCAGGUAACAGCCAUGUCAUGUAUUAAGCACUGAUAAGUGCUGUACAGUGGUUAUAAUGCCAUUUGUCUUCUGUGUGACAAAUAAAAAGUAUAAAAAAGUA
RNAcentral lists this unclassified non-coding RNA (1626 nucleotides) under Lingula anatina. RNAcentral describes it as "microsomal glutathione S-transferase 3, transcript variant X1". Lineage: Eukaryota; Metazoa; Brachiopoda; Lingulata; Lingulida; Lingulidae. The record is from RNAcentral.